RNAcentral lists this ribosomal RNA (450 nucleotides) under uncultured bacterium. Its description in RNAcentral is "partial 16S ribosomal RNA". It matches the Rfam family "Bacterial small subunit ribosomal RNA", at positions 354 to 796 of the family's 1533-position model. The record is from RNAcentral.
GUGGGGAAUUUUGGACAAUGGGCGCAAGCCUGAUCCAGCAAUGCCGCGUGCAGGAAGAAGGCCUUCGGGUUGUAAACUGCUUUUGUACGGAACGAAACGGUCCUGGCUAAUACCCGGGGCUAAUGACGGUACCGUAAGAAUAAGCACCGGCUAACUACGUGCCAGCAGCCGCGGUAAUACGUAGGGUGCGAGCGUUAAUCGGAAUUACUGGGCGUAAAGCGUGCGCAGGCGGUGCUGUAAGACAGGCGUGAAAUCCCCGGGCUCAACCUGGGAAUUGCGCUUGUGACUGCAGUGCUGGAGUGCGGCAGAGGGGGAUGGAAUUCCGCGUGUAGCAGUGAAAUGCGUAGAUAUGCGGAGGAACACCGAUGGCGAAGGCAAUCCCCUGGGCCUGCACUGACGCUCAUGCACGAAAGCGUGGGGAGCAAACAGGAUUAGAAACCCCAGUAGUCC